This 416-nucleotide ribosomal RNA is filed under the name uncultured bacterium. Its description in RNAcentral is "bacterial SSU rRNA". It matches the Rfam family "Bacterial small subunit ribosomal RNA", at positions 28 to 437 of the family's 1533-position model. The record is from RNAcentral.
GACGAACGCUGGCGGCGUGCCUAACACAUGCAAGUCGAGCGGAGACAGGGAGUAGCUUGCUACGAACUGUUUUAGCGGCGGACGGGUGAGUAACGCGUGAGCAACCUUUCCCAGACAGGGGAAUAACACACCGAAAGGUGUACUAAUACCGCAUAAGACCACGGGAUCACAUGGUUCUGGGGUAAAAGAAUUAUCGGUUUGGGGUGGGCUCGCGUCCGAUUAGGUAGUUGGUGAGGUAACGGCCCACCAAGCCGACGAUCGGUAGCCGACCUGAGAGGGUGAUCGGCCACAUUGGGACUGAGACACGGCCCAAACUCCUACGGGAGGCAGCAGUGGGGAAUAUUGGGCAAUGGAGGAAACUCUGACCCAGCAACGCCGCGUGGAGGAAGAAGGUUUUCGGAUCGUAAACUCCUGUC